CCUACGGGAGGCAGCAGUGAGGAAUAUUGGUCAAUGGGCGCGAGCCUGAACCAGCCAAGUCGCGUGAAGGAUGACUGCCCUACGGGUUGUAAACUUCUUUUAUAAAGGAAUAAAGUGAGGCACGUGUGCCCUUUUGUAUGUACUUUAUGAAUAAGGAUCGGCUAACUCCGUGCCAGCAGCCGCGGUAAUACGGAGGAUCCGAGCGUUAUCCGGAUUUAUUGGGUUUAAAGGGAGCGUAGAUGGGUUGUUAAGUCAGUUGUGAAAGUUUGCGGCUCAACCGUAAAAUUGCAAUUGAUACUGGCAGCCUUGAGUACGGUUGAGGUAGGCGGAAUGCGUGGUGUAGCGGUGAAAUGCAUAGAUAUCACGCAGAACUCCGAUUGCGAAGGCAGCCUACUAACCUGCCACUGACGUUGAUGCACGAAAGUGUGGGUAUCAAACAGGAUUAGAUACCCUUGUAGUC
Molecule: ribosomal RNA, 460 nt
Filed under: uncultured bacterium
Lineage: Bacteria
Description: partial 16S ribosomal RNA
Rfam family: Bacterial small subunit ribosomal RNA
Source: RNAcentral